RNAcentral lists this unclassified non-coding RNA (207 nucleotides) under Hevea brasiliensis (rubber tree). The record is from RNAcentral. Lineage: Eukaryota; Viridiplantae; Streptophyta; Magnoliopsida; Malpighiales; Euphorbiaceae.
GCCAGGACCUGUAUAUACGAAUCGAAGCUUCAAAACAAGGUGCGUGUUUUGAUAAAGUCUUUUUCCCUACUGAUAACUUUUCAUUAAACAACAAACUUGGUGAAGGAGGAUUUGGACCUGUUUACAAGGUAUACAGUGCAAAUUUGUUGGAACGGUAACUAGUUUAUGCUCAAGAUCAGAGUGCUAAAAAUGAUUUUAUUCUGCAAU